GAUGUAGCUUUGCAUUACAGCAUCUUUCAUUGCUUCACCAUGUUUCACUCCUAGAAAGAAAAACUCCGGAGAUCUGCUUCUGCUGAAUCGUGCAGCUUCUGCUGUGUUGGCUGGUUUGCUGUUUGGCUGGACUGCUGGCAAACCAAGGAGACCAACACCAGAAGGCCUGCUAACGCUCCCAUGCCCGCCCAUUCCUUCAGAUGAUUCAUGGCUGCAGCAAUCCAUGAUGAUAAUCCUGUGGCUAGUCCUGCGUCCACUCUGGUAGAAUUUACCGUGACAAUGGCCACUCACAGCUGCUCCAUCGUAGUAUCGAAUUCUCCAGUCCAAGAUGGAGCUGGUUUCCGCCUUCCACCUUCCCGAUGGCAAACCAAGGAGACCAACACCAGAAGGCCUGCUAACGCUCCCAUGCCUGCCCAUUCCUUCAGAUGAUUCAUGGCUGCAGCAAUCCAUGAUGAUAAUCCUGUGGCUAGUCCUGCGUCCACUCUGGUAGGAUUUACAGUGACAAUGGCCACUCUCAGCUGCUCCAUCGUAGUAGAGAGUCCAUUUUUUAAGGUACUCAGUUUAUGGCAAUUUAUUGUAACAGCCACAAAAAUUAAUAAAGUAGAAUCUAUUUUUACCAGUAAGGGAAUGUUAAAGCAAAUACACUAUAGGAUAGGAAAGCAGGCGUAAUCCUGAUUAGGCAUCUUAAUGAAAUAUUAUUCAUUGAAGAGGGAGACCAGGGAAAGAACAGUUCUGUCUUAGGAAAGACGUAGUAGUUUCUAACUCAAGCUAAGAAACAUGGUUGAUAUUUUCUGGUUUCACAUUUUUUUUAUUUUACUAAUAAAAAUCCUCAAUUCAUUAUGGUUUCUGAGUACCUUUAACUGCCAGUGUUAACAGGAAAGUGCUAUGACUUAGCUCUGAGAUCUCACUUCACACCAGCUUCUGAUCCUGGCAUGACUAGUUACCUGCUUUCUUCAAGAUCAAUACGCACCUGGACUAUUUGCUAUGUCUUCAUGAUGGAAAAGCCUCCAGACCAGGGUUUGAAGUAAGUUUAUGCAGAUUUGGUAACCAGAAAUAUUGUGAUAGGUUUAUCACUUCUUUUUAUAUAUAUGUGAAAAAUAACAUUUUAUAAAAUGAAUAUUUUAAGGUUGAAAUGAGAUGCUUUAAUAAAAUCCCCUUCAUUGAGCUUAUUUUGUUUUCCAGAAAUGAGUCCUCUUUUUCAAAUUUUUUUUUAAAACUGAUUUGUACUGUUCUUAGUGAUGUUUUCAGAACUAAACAUCUGCUUAUCUAAUGUCUUCUUUUGUCUGCCUGUCUGCUUGGCUGUCAUGAAACUGCUUGUCUGAAUGAGUCAGAGGCCAUCGGGCGAAAACGAACUUUCAAAUCCACUUACAAGGCCUCCUUACUGGACAGCACAUUCAGCUGAUUCUUUCUCACAUCAUUAGAAUGGACUUUGCCUCUGGGCACUCUUUCAAAACCUUAUGAGUGUGUUUUUCUUCAAUCUUAUUUUCCUGUUCCUGAGAACUUGUUUACUCUUAGUUUUACUGAUUUUUCUGGCUAAUGAUGGAUAGGACUGGGACACUGACCAAAUUUCAGUGACAAAAGUCUUAAGUGAGAGGAUUAAAUUAGGACGGUUGGGAGAGAGAGGUAAGGAAGUUUGUAUGGAUUGGAACAAUUAACACUAAGGGCUAUAUGGUAAGGUACUAUGUAGAAUCUUCCGGAAAUAUAUACACAUAUAAGAGAAAUCUAAGUGAGGCCACCAAAUAAUGGGGGAGACAACGCCCCAACUACACUCCUUUUAGCACUGAGUGAAACCUCUAGUACCAGGAAAGGGUUCCAUCCUGUUGAGUCUUUGGCCACAGUUCCAAGGCUACUGGUUAUUCUCCACAAACAGAGGCUGUUUGUGUUGCUGAAGGCCAUGCUUAACAGAUCUCAUUGAACACAAAGCAGUCAAGGUGGUGCCUCACUGGAGUUUUCACCAGUCCUGUCUUCCUAAUACUCUGAACACUACUAGACAAGAAAGGUAACCACCAACCCAGUAUAAAUCCCCAGCUGCAGCCGUGAUCUGCCUGCAUGAUAUGCUUGUGCAGUAGCGGGACAAAUGUUUGAGUAACUAGUCCUUAUCUGACUAGAUAUAAGGCCCACUGCGUGAGAGGGAGUACAUGUAUGACACUGCUCAGGUGGCCAGGGACCUGAGACUUGAGUGGACAUGGGCUUAGGAGGAAAUCAAAUACUACCGCUAUGUAAAAGGAAAGUAUCAUUAAACUUGCUCAGAACAACCUUCUGCUAUGCUCAUAGAUUAGUCUCUCAUUCAGUCAUCAUCAGAGAAGCUUCCUAUUGCAGUGGAUAGGAACCAACAUAGAAAUCCACAAUUGGACAUUGUAUAGAGAGUGAAAGGGUUCAUAACAUUCAGUCUUUACUGGGAUGUCCUCAUCUGAACCUGCCCUUAAAGCUCAGGGAACUACAUGGAAGAAAAGACUCCAAGGGAACCACGUCUUCCAAACUCAACAGGGUUAAUGAACAGGUGAACCUACAAAGACGGUCAGCAUGGAUAAGGCCUAGACCAGUUCAAGCCUUAUGAGGUGCCUACACUGAGAUGUAGACAUGGGCUCCCAUUCCUAACCAAGAAGCUCCCUGCACUUGAUACACACUUGCCAAAGAAAGCAGCAGUUUUCUCCAAUGGCAUCUCACUGGGCAUCACCAGAAUUAAGGGUAGGUCCUUUGUGGAGCAGUAGAUGGCCAACAGCAAAUCAGUGGUAUUUUUUAUAAGUCUUUGUUUCAGAUUGCUUUGUUUGGGGAUGUGUGUGUAUGCAUGUGUGUUUAUAUUUCUUAUGUUUUUGUUUGUUUGUUUGUUUUCUGAUGAAAGAAAGAUGGAGUGAACUUGGGUUGUUGAAGAGGAUCUUUGAGGAAUUGGGGAGGAGAAAGUGUGAUCAGAACAUGUUAUAUGAAAACUUAUUUUUUUCAAUUAAAAAAAUGUUUGUAGAAGCACCAGCCUUACAGAUAGGCACAGUUCUCAUGGGACAUUUUCAAUUUAGAAGUGUGCUUCUUCUAAGCCAAACACCUGCCUAUUCUAUGCUUUCUCAUGAUACUGUUAACUCUUGUGUAUGAAUUUUCCUUCAAAAUUUCACUAAAGACAACUUGUAAUAUCUGUGGCUACUCUAUGUAUCAUUUGACAUGAAUAAAAAUUGUUCAUAGAA
This is a long non-coding RNA of Meriones unguiculatus (Mongolian gerbil), 3173 nucleotides long. RefSeq lists it as uncharacterized. Lineage: Eukaryota; Metazoa; Chordata; Mammalia; Rodentia; Muridae. The record is from RefSeq and is a predicted model, not a curated record. The transcript is spliced from 3 exons.